Molecule: ribosomal RNA, 500 nt
Filed under: uncultured Glomeromycotina
Lineage: Eukaryota; Fungi; Glomeromycota
Description: partial small subunit ribosomal RNA
Rfam family: Eukaryotic small subunit ribosomal RNA
Source: RNAcentral
CCAAUGGCGUAUAUUAAAGUUGUUGCAGUUAAAAAGCUCGUAGUUGAAUUUCGAGAUCAGUACGCUGGUCGUGCCUUCGGUAUGCACUGGUGUCACUGGUUUCUCCCUUCUGAAGAACCGUCAUGUCAUUAAGUUGGUGUGGCGGGGAAUCAGGACUGUUACUUUGAAAAAAUUAGAGUGUUUAAAGCAGGCUCGCGCUUGAAUACAUUAGCAUGGAAUAAUGAAAUAGGACGUUUGACCCUAUUUUGUUGGUUUCUAGGAUCGACGUAAUGAUUAAUAGGGAUAGUUGGGGGCAUUAGUAUUCAAUUGUCAGAGGUGAAAUUCUUGGAUUUAUUGAAGACUAACUACUGCGAAAGCAUUUGCCAAGGAUGUUUUCAUUAAUCAAGAACGAAAGUUAGGGGAUCGAAGACGAUCAGAUACCGUCGUAGUCUUAACCAUAAACUAUGCCGACUAGGGAUCGGAUGAUGUUAAUUUUUUAAUGACUCAUUCGGCGCCUUACG